UAGAGUUUGAUCAUGGCUCAGAACGAACGCUGGCGGCAGGCUUAACACAUGCAAGUCGAACGCUCGUGAGCGAUCACGGGAGUGGCAGACGGGUGAGUAACGCGUGGGAACAUACCCUCCGGUUCGGAAUAACUCAGGGAAACUUGAGCUAAUACCGGAUACGGCUUAGCGGCGAAAGAUUUUAUCGCCGGAGGAUUGGCCCGCGUUCGAUUAGCUAGUUGGUGAGGUAACGGCUCACCAAGGCGACGAUCGAUAGCUGGUCUGAGAGGAUGAUCAGCCACAUUGGGACUGAGACACGGCCCAAACUCCUACGGGAGGCAGCAGUGGGGAAUAUUGGACAAUGGGCGCAAGCCUGAUCCAGCCAUGCCGCGUGAGUGAUGACGGCCUUAGGGUUGUAAAGCUCUUUCGCUCGGGACGAUAAUGACGGUACCGAGAUAAGAAGCCCCGGCUAACUUCGUGCCAGCCGCCGCG
RNAcentral lists this ribosomal RNA (471 nucleotides) under uncultured Methylocystis sp. Its description in RNAcentral is "bacterial SSU rRNA". It matches the Rfam family "Bacterial small subunit ribosomal RNA", at positions 1 to 519 of the family's 1533-position model. Lineage: Bacteria; Pseudomonadati; Pseudomonadota; Alphaproteobacteria; Hyphomicrobiales; Methylocystaceae. The record is from RNAcentral.